AAAGAAUAGUAAAUGGAAAGCAGAAGUUGUGGACCUGUACUUUUGGGAAUGGGUGUGUGUGUUGGUUCCUUCUGUGUGUUUUCAAGGCUCAGAAACAACUUUUCACCAUUUUCUGUCUGUAAUGUUCAGCACGUCUAACAACUUUGGCACACUUUGGAAGUACAGUAGUCAGUGGGAGAAUUUAUUUUUUUACUGACUGGCCAUGCUCAAAAAAACAGGACCAGUUUAGCAAGAACUGCACCUUGGUCCUUUACAUAUCCUGACCAAGCCAUUAUUGGUGAGGAAAUGUUAGUGACAGCAGCUCUUUUUGUUAAACUGGACUCAGCCAAGAAUCUUCCCUAGAGUAACAAAUGCUGCCUGCGGCACCACAAGUGCAUUCUGCAAACUUACUGUAGGAAAUAUUACUAACCAGAGCAAGCGGACUCAGUACUCGUAAAAACGUAGAAGAUGGAUUCAAGCUGUUGUGUCCGAGGCGGCUCGUGUAAAGUUAACAAGCCAUCUUUCUUCACGUGUCCAUUGAAGAGAGUCGCCUGGAAAACUGACUCAAAAUGGCCCUUUGAACGUUCCAGUUUCGUUUUAUAACACGGAGGACUGCAGAGUGCUGACCUCGCCUUUCAGUAAAAGAAGAAGCCUAGCAGGCAGCGCGCUCUUAAGGCUCUGACUGCUCCACGUGAUCCGCUGGGCCUGCAAAAACCACAACUGCAACGUCAACGGGAACAUUACUAAACAUAAGGUUUAAUGAAUAGAACAAUAGCUUUGUAGGUGCGUUAUAAAUUUUUCUAAAUUUCUCUGCGUCCUCUGCAAAACUACAACGUGAAAUCACCAAACUCUGCGUUUUUUGGAGAACGUGACCGACGACGGUUAUUUUUUUAAUUUUCUAUUUCUAAUUUAACGCUCUGUUCCUUAUUUAGUUUCAGAUAGAUUUGACAGUGAAAAACAAACUAAACGACUUUAGAGUAACGCAAGGUUCGUAGGUAAAAUAAAGGUUCACUUUUUAACCGA
This is a long non-coding RNA of Pocillopora damicornis (cauliflower coral), 1002 nucleotides long. NCBI's taxonomy places the organism in Eukaryota, Metazoa, Cnidaria, Anthozoa, Scleractinia, Pocilloporidae. The record is from RefSeq and is a predicted model, not a curated record.